RNAcentral lists this ribosomal RNA (497 nucleotides) under uncultured bacterium. RNAcentral describes it as "partial 16S ribosomal RNA". It matches the Rfam family "Bacterial small subunit ribosomal RNA", at positions 28 to 507 of the family's 1533-position model. The record is from RNAcentral.
GACGAACGCUGGCGGCGUGCCUAAUACAUGCAAGUAGAACGCUGAAGAGAGGAGCUUGCUCUUCUUGGAUGAGUUGCGAACGGGUGAGUAACGCGUAGGUAACCUGCCUUGUAGCGGGGGAUAACUAUUGGAAACGAUAGCUAAUACCGCAUAACAAUGGAUGACACAUGUCAUUUAUUUGAAAGGGGCAAUUACUCCACUACAAGAUGGACCUGCGUUGUAUUAGCUAGUAGGUGAAGUAAUGGCUCACCUAGGCGACGAUACAUAGCCGACCUGAGAGGGUGAUCGGCCACACUGGGACUGAGACACGGCCCAGACUCCUACGGGAGGCAGCAGUAGGGAAUCUUCGGCAAUGGGGGCAACCCUGACCGAGCAACGCCGCGUGAGUGAAGAAGGUUUUCGGAUCGUAAAGCUCUGUUGUAAGUCAAGAACGGGUGUGAGAGUGGAAAGUUCACACUGUGACGGUAGCUUACCAGAAAGGGACGGCUAACUACGUG